This is a non-coding RNA of Xylariomycetidae sp. FL2044, 126 nucleotides long. The record is from the annotation of a GenBank genome assembly. NCBI's taxonomy places the organism in Eukaryota, Fungi, Ascomycota, Sordariomycetes.
AGGCCCGCGGUGUAGUUGGUUGCACGCUCCAACAUCCAAAAAGAGCUAGGAAUUGGGAUUGGAUAUGGGAGUAAUGAUAAUGGUGCUGAUGUUGGAGAGGGCUAGGUUCGAAUCCUGGCGGGUCUA